RNAcentral lists this transfer RNA (76 nucleotides) under Nitrospirota bacterium. RNAcentral's name for it is "tRNA-Thr". It matches the Rfam family "tRNA". From Rfam's summary of the family: Transfer RNA (tRNA) molecules are approximately 80 nucleotides in length. Their secondary structure includes four short double-helical elements and three loops (D, anti-codon, and T loops). Further hydrogen bonds mediate the characteristic L-shaped molecular structure. tRNAs have two regions of fundamental functional importance: the anti-codon, which is responsible for specific mRNA codon recognition, and the 3' end, to which the tRNAs corresponding amino acid is attached (by aminoacyl-tRNA synthetases). tRNAs cope with the degeneracy of the genetic code in two manners: having more than one tRNA (with a specific anti-codon) for a particular amino acid; and 'wobble' base-pairing, i.e. permitting non-standard base-pairing at the 3rd anti-codon position. The record is from RNAcentral. Lineage: Bacteria; Pseudomonadati; Nitrospirota.
GCUGGCGUAGCUCAGUUGGCAGAGCAGCGGUUUUGUAAACCGCAGGUCGGAGGUUCGAUCCCUCUCGCCAGCUCCA